AGCAGCCGCGGUAAUUCCAGCUCCAAUAGCGUAUAUUAAAGUUGUUGCAGUUAAAAAGCUCGUAGUUGAACUUCGGGGUUCACCCAUUGGUCAGGCUUAAUUGUCUGCACUGGUGAGAUGAGUCUCUACCUUCUGAGGAACUUUCAUGUCAUUAAUUUGGUGUGAUGGGAAAUCAGGACUGUUACUUUGAAAAAUUAGAGUGUUUAAAGCAGGCUAACGUCUGAAUACAUUAGCAUGGAAUAAUGAAAUAGGACGGACUGAUUCUAUUUCGUUGGUUUCUAGGAUCACCGUAAUGAUUAAUAGGGAUAGUUGGGGGCAUUAGUAUUCAAUUGUCAGAGGUGAAAUUCUUGGAUUUAUUGAAGACUAACUACUGCGAAAGCAUUUGCCAAGGAUGUUUU
Molecule: ribosomal RNA, 398 nt
Filed under: uncultured Glomeromycotina
Lineage: Eukaryota; Fungi; Glomeromycota
Description: SSU rRNA
Rfam family: Eukaryotic small subunit ribosomal RNA
Source: RNAcentral